UUCUGAAACUAGACUCACAUUAGGACACAGUUAUUGUCUACUUGCAGAGCUUUAGAAUAUCAUUCACUGGUCUUGACUCACUGGUCAGUACACUAAGUAGUGGUCAGACCAGAAAGCUCC
Molecule: small nucleolar RNA, 120 nt
Filed under: Fukomys damarensis (Damara mole-rat)
Lineage: Eukaryota; Metazoa; Chordata; Mammalia; Rodentia; Bathyergidae
Description: Small nucleolar RNA SNORA3/SNORA45 family (ENSFDAG00000001515.1)
Source: RNAcentral